UCUUGGAUGGUCUAGGGGUUAGGAUUUUGUGCUUUCACCGCAGUGGCCCGGGUUCAAUCUCUGGUCUGGGAA
RNAcentral lists this transfer RNA (72 nucleotides) under Sus scrofa (pig). It matches the Rfam family "tRNA". From Rfam's summary of the family: Transfer RNA (tRNA) molecules are approximately 80 nucleotides in length. Their secondary structure includes four short double-helical elements and three loops (D, anti-codon, and T loops). The record is from Rfam by way of RNAcentral. Lineage: Eukaryota; Metazoa; Chordata; Mammalia; Artiodactyla; Suidae.